RNAcentral lists this ribosomal RNA (519 nucleotides) under uncultured bacterium. RNAcentral describes it as "bacterial SSU rRNA". It matches the Rfam family "Bacterial small subunit ribosomal RNA", at positions 9 to 517 of the family's 1533-position model. The record is from RNAcentral.
GAGUUUGAUCCUGGCUCAGAUUGAACGCUGGCGGCAGGCCUAACACAUGCAAGUCGAACGGUAACAGGAAGAAGCUUGCUUCUUUGCUGACGAGUGGCGGACGGGUGAGUAAUUUCUGGGAAACUGCCUGAUGGAGGGGGAUAACUACUGGAAACGGUAGCUAAUACCGCAUAACGUCGCAAGACCAAAGAGGGGGACCUUCGGGCCUCUUGCCAUCGGAUGUGCCCAGAUGGGAUUAGCUUGUUGGUGGGGUAACGGCUCACCAAGGCGACGAUCCCUAGCUGGUCUGAGAGGAUGACCAGCCACACUGGAACUGAGACACGGUCCAGACUCCUACGGGAGGCAGCAGUGGGGAAUAUUGCACAAUGGGCGCAAGCCUGAUGCAGCCAUGCCGCGUGUAUGAAGAAGGCCUUCGGGUUGUAAAGUACUUUCAGCGGGGAGGAAGGGAGUAAAGUUAAUACCUUUGCUCAUUGACGUUACCCGCAGAAGAAGCACCGGCUAACUCCGUGCCAGCAGCCG